GACGAACGCUGGCGGCGUGCUUAACACAUGCAAGUCGAACGAUGAAGCGCUGUCUUUUUGGUGGUGUGGAUUAGUGGCGAACGGGUGAGUAAUACGCGGGCAACCUGCCCCUCUGCUUCGGGAUAAGCUUUGGAAACGGGGUCUAAUACCGGAUGUGCCUGUCUGGUCGCAUGGCUGGGCGGGGAAAGAUGUUUUUCGGCGGGGGAUGGGCUCGCGGCCUAUCAGCUUGUUGGUGGGGUGACGGCCUACCAAGGUGUCGACGGGUUGCCGGCCUGAUAUGGUGGUCGGUCACUCUAGGACUGAUAUACGGCCCAGACUCCUACGGGAGGCAGCCGUGGGGGAUAUUGCACUAUGGGCUCAACCCAUAUGCUCCCACGCCGCGUGGUGGGAUGGAGGAUUUGGGUUUUAUCCCUUUCGCACCGGGACAAGGCUCUCUUUGGCGGCGUUUGGGGGUAUGCCCUAAAAAACGCCGGGUUACCUUCCUGCUAUUUGUGCGGGUAAUACCCA
This 507-nucleotide ribosomal RNA is filed under the name uncultured Parvimonas sp. Its description in RNAcentral is "bacterial SSU rRNA". It matches the Rfam family "Bacterial small subunit ribosomal RNA", at positions 28 to 529 of the family's 1533-position model. Lineage: Bacteria; Bacillati; Bacillota; Tissierellia; Tissierellales; Peptoniphilaceae. The record is from RNAcentral.